Molecule: transfer RNA, 86 nt
Filed under: Bdellovibrionales bacterium
Lineage: Bacteria; Pseudomonadati; Bdellovibrionota; Bdellovibrionia; Bdellovibrionales
Description: tRNA-Tyr
Rfam family: tRNA
About the family: Transfer RNA (tRNA) molecules are approximately 80 nucleotides in length.
Source: RNAcentral
GGGGAGAUGCCCGAGUGGCUAAAGGGGGCGGUCUGUAAAAUCGCUGGCUUACGCCUACGCAGGUUCGAAUCCUGCUCUCCCCACCA